CAUUCAUUAUGGCGAUGUCGUCUGCAUGAGGAACGAUUCCGCUUCAGCCGACGAUCAUGAAAUCGCGCGUGCAAAAACGUGACGACGGAGACCGCGUGUAACAAUGUGGUGGACGUCAAUAAAACACACGUGUGCAGUGGGACUACAAUGGACAGGGCUUGCAGUACCAGAUCAUUUGCUGGUCCAGUGUUUAUACUCAUCUACACAUUCGCUGGCAUACCUAUAGGUUUUGCGGCCGAUCUUUACAACAGGAAGUCUAUGCUGGCCGUCAGCGUCUGCUUCUGGUCGCUAAUGACUCUACUUAUGGGAUUCGUCGUUGAGUACUGGCAGCUUGCGUUGCUGCGCUUUGGACUCGGCCUCGGG
Priapulus caudatus is the source of this 363-nucleotide long non-coding RNA. RefSeq lists it as uncharacterized. NCBI's taxonomy places the organism in Eukaryota, Metazoa, Priapulida, Priapulimorpha, Priapulimorphida, Priapulidae. The transcript is spliced from 3 exons. The record is from RefSeq and is a predicted model, not a curated record.